This 416-nucleotide ribosomal RNA is filed under the name uncultured bacterium. Its description in RNAcentral is "bacterial SSU rRNA". It matches the Rfam family "Bacterial small subunit ribosomal RNA", at positions 30 to 431 of the family's 1533-position model. The record is from RNAcentral.
AUUGAACGCUGGCGGCGUGCCUAACACAUGCAAGUCGAGCGGUAACAGGUGUAGCAAUACAUGCUGACGAGCGGCGAACGGGUGAGUAAUGCUUCGGAAUCUGCCCAUGUAGUGGGGAAUAACCAGCCGAAAGGUUGGCUAAUACCGCAUACGACCCUUGCCCACAAGGCAAAGGUGAAAGCAGGGGAUCGCAAGACCUUGCGCUAUUGGAUGAGCCGAAGUCGGAUUAGCUAGUUGGUAGGGUAACGGCCUACCAAGGCGACGAUCCGUAGCUGGUCUGAGGGGACGACCAGCCACACUGGGACUGAGACACGGCCCAGACUCCUACGGGAGGCAGCAGUGGGGAAUAUUGGACAAUGGGGCAACCCUGAUCCAGCGACGCCGCGUGUGUGAAGAAGGCCUGCGGGUUGUAAAGC